UAGGAAAUCUUGGUAAUCAUUGGGAGAAUCAUGAUAUUUUGGAAUCUGGUGUAUACAAUACUAAUCAGUGAUAUAUAUGUAUACUCUCUGAAUCUGAAUUUAACCACGAUUUUACAGGUGAAUUGUGUUUAUUUAGGUUUGCAUACCCAAAUGAGGCCAGCGUUUUUAAUGUUUUUACUGUUUUUAGUAGGCAUAGAAUAUUAUAGUUACUAACGCUUUAUUUCGUUUCUCUAUAAUCGUUUAACACCUAAUAAAUAGUGGUAAAAAAAUUCAUUGAAAAGUUCGAUUC
This is a non-coding RNA of Cinara cedri, 289 nucleotides long. NCBI's taxonomy places the organism in Eukaryota, Metazoa, Arthropoda, Insecta, Hemiptera, Aphididae. The record is from the annotation of a GenBank genome assembly.